CUUGAACCUUGGCCCCUCAGAUUAAAAGUCUGAUGCUUACCGACUGAGUU
Molecule: transfer RNA, 50 nt
Filed under: Human immunodeficiency virus 1
Lineage: Riboviria; Pararnavirae; Artverviricota; Revtraviricetes; Ortervirales; Retroviridae
Source: RNAcentral